UCUAAAUUUCAAUUCAAAUGCAUGUGAAAGAAUUCCCUUUUUAAAUGGGUCCCAAAGAAGAAUGGUAUGCUGGGGGAGCAUUUGCGAUCGCAGUUAUGCUAGUGACAGGAAGUUACGAUGAAAGAUAAAA
Molecule: long non-coding RNA, 130 nt
Organism: Papaver somniferum (opium poppy)
Lineage: Eukaryota; Viridiplantae; Streptophyta; Magnoliopsida; Ranunculales; Papaveraceae
Exons: 3
Source: RefSeq, a predicted model, not a curated record